RNAcentral lists this ribosomal RNA (164 nucleotides) under Impatiens barbata. RNAcentral's name for it is "5.8S ribosomal RNA". It matches the Rfam family "5.8S ribosomal RNA". Rfam says of the family: 5.8S ribosomal RNA (5.8S rRNA) is a component of the large subunit of the eukaryotic ribosome. It is transcribed by RNA polymerase I as part of the 45S precursor that also contains 18S and 28S rRNA. Functionally, it is thought that 5.8S rRNA may be involved in ribosome translocation. Lineage: Eukaryota; Viridiplantae; Streptophyta; Magnoliopsida; Ericales; Balsaminaceae. The record is from RNAcentral.
AAAACGACUCUCGGCAACGGAUAUCUCGGCUCUCGCAUCGAUGAAGAACGUAGCAAAAUGCGAUACUUGGUGUGAAUUGCAGAAUCCCGUGAACCAUCGAGUUUUUGAACGCAAGUUGCGCCCGAAACCAUUAGGUUGAGGGCACGUCUGCCUGGGCGUCUCGC